RNAcentral lists this ribosomal RNA (466 nucleotides) under uncultured bacterium. RNAcentral's name for it is "partial 16S ribosomal RNA". It matches the Rfam family "Bacterial small subunit ribosomal RNA", at positions 28 to 507 of the family's 1533-position model. The record is from RNAcentral.
GACGAACGCUGGCGGCGUGCUUAACACAUGCAAGUCGAACGGAAAGGCCUCUUUCGGGGGGUACUCGAGUGGCGAACGGGCGAGUAACACGUAAGUAACCUACCCUUGUCUUUGGGUUAGCUUACGGAAACUGGGGCUAAUAACGGCUAGGAAAUCCUGUUGCACGGAUGGGGCUGGAGAGUUUCGGCGGUUUGGGAUGGAUUCUCGGCUUAUCCGCUUGUUGGUGGGGUAGUGGCUUACUAAGGCUUUGACGGGUAGCCGGCCUGAGAGGGUGACCGGCCACAUUGGGACUGAGAUACGGCCCAGACUCCUACGGUAGGCAGAAGUGGGGAAUAUUGCACAAUGGGCGGAAGCCUGUUGCAGCAACGCCGCGUGCGUGAUGACGGCCUUCGGGUUGUAAACCGCUUUCGCCUGUGACGAAGCGUGAGUGACGGUAAUGGGUAAAGAAGCACCGGCUAACUACGUG